AGAGUUUGAUCAUGGCUCAGGACGAACGCUGGCGGCGUGCCUAAUACAUGCAAGUCGAGCGCGGGAAGCAAGCUGAUCCCUUCGGGGUGACGCUUGUGGAACGAGCGGCGGACGGGUGAGUAACACGUGGGCAACCUGCCCUGUAGAUUGGGAUAACUUCGGGAAACCGGGGCUAAUACCGAAUAAUCAAAGUGCUCGCAUGAGCACCUUGUAAAAGUUGGGUUUCUAACACUACAGGAUGGGCCCGCGGCGCAUUAGCUAGUUGGUAAGGUAACGGCUUACCAAGGCAACGAUGCGUAGCCGACCUGAGAGGGUGAUCGGCCACACUGGGACUGAGACACGGCCCAGACUCCUACGGGAGGCAGCAGUAGGGAAUCUUCCGCAAUGGACGAAAGUCUGACGGAGCAACGCCGCGUGAGUGAUGAAGGUUUUCGGAUCGUAAAGCUCUGUUGUGAGGGAAGAACAAGUACCGUUCGAUAAGGGCGGUACCGUGACGGUACCUCACCAGAAAGCCACGGCUAACUACGUGCCAGCAGCCGCGGUAAUACGUAGGUGGCAAGCGUUGUCCGGAAUUAUUGGGCGUAAAGCGCGCGCAGGCGGUUCUCUAAGUCUGAUGUGAAAGCCCACGGCUCAACCGUGGAGGGCCAUUGGAAACUGGGGAACUUGAGUGCAGGAGAGGAGAGUGGAAUUCCACAUGUAGCGGUGAAAUGCGUAGAGAUGUGGAGGAACACCAGUGGCGAAGGCGACUCUCUGGCCUGAUACUGACGCUGAGGCGCGAAAGCGUGGGGAGCGAACAGGAUUAGAUACCCUGGUAGUCCACGCCGUAAACGAUGAGUGCUAGGUGUUAGGGGGGCCACCCCUUAGUGCUGAAGUUAACACAUUAAGCACUCCGCCUGGGAGUACGACCGCAAGGUUGAAACUCAAAGGAAUUGACGGGGACCCGCACAAGCGGUGGAGCAUGUGGUUUAAUUCGACGCAACGCGAAGAACCUUACCAGGUCUUGACAUCCUCUGCCGGUUCUAGAGAUAGAGCUUUUCCCCUUCGGGGGACAGAGUGACAGGUGGUGCAUGGUUGCCGUCAGCUCGUGUCGUGAGAUGUUGGGUUAAGUCCCGCAACGAGCGCAACCCUUGACCUUAGUUGCCAGCAUUCAGUUGGGCACUCUAAGGUGACUGCCGGUGACAAACCGGAGGAAGGUGGGGAUGACGUCAAAUCAUCAUGCCCCUUAUGACCUGGGCUACACACAUGCUACAAUGGAUGGUACAAAGGGCUGCGAGACCGCGAGGUUUAGCCAAUCCCAUAAAGCCAUUCUCAGUUCGGAUUGCAGGCUGCAACUCGCCUGCAUGAAGCCGGAAUCGCUAGUAAUCGUGGAUCAGCAUGCCACGGUGAAUACGUUCCCGGGUCUUGUACACACCGCCCGUCACACCACGAGAGUUCGUAACACCCGAAGUCGGUGGGGUAACCUUUCGGAGCCAGCCGCCGAAGGUGGGACGAAUGAUUGGGGUGAAGUCGUAACAAGGUAGCCGUA
RNAcentral lists this ribosomal RNA (1525 nucleotides) under uncultured bacterium. RNAcentral describes it as "bacterial SSU rRNA". It matches the Rfam family "Bacterial small subunit ribosomal RNA". The record is from RNAcentral.